Molecule: long non-coding RNA, 284 nt
Filed under: Amborella trichopoda
Lineage: Eukaryota; Viridiplantae; Streptophyta; Magnoliopsida; Amborellales; Amborellaceae
Description: long non-coding RNA (ATRI_LNC003405)
Source: RNAcentral
AGAGAGAGAGAGAGAGAGAGAGGAUGUUUGGGUCAAGAGGACAACAACUUUGAAUUUUGGGUCAGUGCGGUCCUUUUCAUUAUGGAAUCGUGUAUGGAUUAGGAAAAGAAACUUCGAAGCUGCAACAAGAAGGUUGCAACAACUGCUUUCUUUAGUUGAUCAUUUGGACUUUUGAAAAUGAGGGCUCACGAAAAGUAGAAAUUGAUUUACGCCCCAAAAAUAAAUCUUUUAUGUACAACGAUUGAAAACUUGGCUUGAUUCCUUGGCGAAGCCCAGAACUCGAG